Molecule: ribosomal RNA, 397 nt
Filed under: uncultured bacterium
Lineage: Bacteria
Description: bacterial SSU rRNA
Rfam family: Bacterial small subunit ribosomal RNA
Source: RNAcentral
AUUAAACGCUGGCGGCAUGCCUUACACAUGCAAGUCGAACGGCAGCACGGGGGCAACCUUGGUGGCGAGUGGCGAACGGGUGAGUAAAGCAUCGGAACGUGCCCUGGAGUGGGGGAUAACGUAGCGAAAGUUACGCUAAUACCGCAUAUUCUGUGAGCAGGAAAGCAGGGGAUCGCAAGACCUUGCGCUCUGGGAGCGGCCGAUGUCGGAUUAGCUAGUUGGUGGGGUAAAGGCCUACCAAGGCGACGAUCCGUAGCGGGUCUGAGAGGAUGAUCCGCCACACUGGGACUGAGACACGGCCCAGACUCCUACGGGAGGCAGCAGUGGGGAAUUUUGGACAAUGGGCGAAAGCCUGAUCCAGCCAUGCCGCGUGAGUGAAGAAGGCCUCGGUUGUAAG